Molecule: ribosomal RNA, 398 nt
Filed under: uncultured bacterium
Lineage: Bacteria
Description: partial 16S ribosomal RNA
Rfam family: Bacterial small subunit ribosomal RNA
Source: RNAcentral
AUAUUUCCCAUUGGGGUGAACCCUGACGCAGCACCGCCGCGUGAGUGACGAGGGCCUUCGGGUCGUAAAACUCUGUCAUAGGGGAAGAAGGAAGUGACGGUACCCUAUGAGGAAGCCCCGGCUAGCUACGUGCCAGCACCCGCGGUAAUACGUAGGGGGCGAGCGUUGUCCGGAAUCACUGGGCGUAAAGGGUGCGUAGGCGGCCAAUUAAGUCAGAUGUGAAAUACCAGGGCUCAACCCUGGGGGUGCAUUUGAAACUGGAUGGCUUGAGUGCAGGAGAGGAAAGUGGAAUUCCUAGUGUAGCGGUGAAAUGCGUAGAGAUUAGGAGGAACACCAGUGGCGAAGGCGACUUUCUGGACUGUAACUGACGCUGAGGCACGAAAGCUAGGGGAGCAAAC